AUGUUCCCUCCCUUCCUCUCCUGUUCCCUCCCCUCCUCUCCUGUUCCCUCCCCUCCUCUCCUGUUCCCUCCCCUCCUGUUCCCUCCUCUCCUGUUCCCUCCCCUCCUGUUCCCUCCCCUCCUCUAUUGUUCCCUCCUCCCUUCUAUUGUUCCCUCCUCUCCUCUCUUGUUCCCUCCUCUCCUCUCUUGUUCCCUCCUCUCCUGUUCCCUCCUCUCCUCUCUUGUUCCCUCCUCUCCUGUUCCCUCCUCUCCUCUCUUGUUCCCUCCUCUCCUGUUCCCUCCUCUCCUCUCCUGUUCCCUCCUCUCCUCUCCUCUCUUGUUCCCUCCUCCUGUUCCCUCCUACUGUUCCCUCCUCCUGUUCCCUCCUCUCCUCUCUUGUUCCCUCCUCUCCUGUUCCCUCCUCUCCUCUCCUCUCUUGUUCCCUCCUCUUGUUCCCUCCCCUCCUCUCCUGUUCCCUCCCCUCCUCUCCUGUUCCCUCCCCUCCUGUUCCCUCCCCUCCUCUCUUGUUCCCUCCCCUCCUCUCUUGUUCCCUACUCUCCUCUCUUGUUCCCUCCUCAUGUUCCCUCCCCUCCUCUCCUGUUCCCUCCCCUCCUGUUCCCUCUCCUCCUCUCCUGUUCCCUCUCCUCCUCUCUUGUUCCCUCCCCUCCUCUCUUGUUCCCUACUCUCCUCUCUUGUUCCCUCCCCUCCUCUCUUGUUCCCUCCCCUCCUCUCUUGUUCCCUCCCCUCCUCUCUUGUUCCCUCCCCUCCUCUCUUGUUCCCUCCCCUCCUCUCUUGUUCCCUCCUCUCCUCUCUUGUUCCCUCCUCUCCUGUUCCCUCCUCUCCUCUCUUGUUCCCUCUUGUUCCCUCCUCUUGGUCCCUCCUGUUUGUUCCCUCCUCCUGUUUGUUCUCUCCUUCUGUUUGUUCUCUCCUCCUGUUUGUUUCCUCUUGUUCCCUCCUCUCCUCUCUUGUUCCCUCCUCUCCUCUCUUGUUCCCACCUCUCCUCCCCUCCUCUCCUCUCGUUCCCUCCUCUCCUCUUGUUCCCUCCUCUCCUCUCCCAUUCCCUCCUCUCCUCUCCCAUUCCCUCCUCUCCUCUUGUUCCCUCCUCUCCUCUCCCAUUCCCUCCUCUCCUCCUGUUCCCUUCCAUCCUCUCUAG
This 1131-nucleotide long non-coding RNA is filed under the name Oncorhynchus mykiss (rainbow trout). RNAcentral's name for it is "lncRNA (ENSOMYG00000077228.1)". The record is from RNAcentral. Lineage: Eukaryota; Metazoa; Chordata; Actinopteri; Salmoniformes; Salmonidae.